GGAUCCAGACUUUGUAUUCUGGCUCAGGACGAACGCUGGCGGCGUGCUUAACACAUGCAAGUCGAACGAUGAAGUUAUGACGGAGGCUUCGGCCGACAGAAUGAUGGAUUAGUGGCGGACGGGUGAGUAACGCGUGAGUAACCUGCCUUUCAGAGAGGAAUAACAUUUGGAAACGAAUGGUAAUACCACAUAACAUUACGUUCUCGCAUGGGGAUGUAAUCAAAGAUUUUAUCGCUGAGAGAUGGACUCGCGUCCGAUUAGCUGGAUGGUGAGGUAACGGCCCACCAUGGCGACGAUCGGUAGCCGGACUGAGAGGUUGAACGGCCACAUUGGGACUGAGACACGGCCCAGACUCCUACGGGAGGCAGCAGUGGGGAAUAUUGCACAAUGGGGGAAACCCUGAUGCAGCAACGCCGCGUGAAGGAAGACGGUCUUCGGAUUGUAAACUUUUGUUCUUGGUGAAGAAGAAUGACGGUAGCCAAGGAGGAAGCCACGGCUAACUACGUGCCAGCAGCCGCGGUAAUACGUAGGUGGCAAGCGUUGUCCGGAAUUACUGGGUGUAAAGGGAGCGCAGGCGGGAAAUCAAGUUGGAUGUGAAAUGUCGGGGCUUAACCCCGGAACUGCAUCCAAAACUGAUAUUCUUGAGUGAAGUAGAGGUAGGCGGAAUUCCGAGUGUAGCGGUGAAAUGCGUAGAUAUUCGGAGGAACACCAGUGGCGAAGGCGGCCUACUGGGCUUUAACUGACGCUGAGGCUCGAAAGUGUGGGGAGCAAACAGGAUUAGAUACCCUGGUAGUCCACACUGUAAACGAUGAUUGCUAGGUGUGGGGGGUCUGACCCCCUCCGUGCAGGAGUUAACGCAAUAAGCAAUCCACCUGGGGAGUACGGC
This 886-nucleotide ribosomal RNA is filed under the name uncultured Bacillota bacterium. Its description in RNAcentral is "bacterial SSU rRNA". It matches the Rfam family "Bacterial small subunit ribosomal RNA", at positions 1 to 886 of the family's 1533-position model. Lineage: Bacteria; Bacillati; Bacillota. The record is from RNAcentral.